This 400-nucleotide unclassified non-coding RNA is filed under the name soil metagenome. RNAcentral describes it as "partial contains 5.8S ribosomal RNA, internal transcribed spacer 2, and large subunit ribosomal RNA". The stretch from base 1 to 122 matches the Rfam family "5.8S ribosomal RNA", at positions 35 to 154 of the family's 154-position model. The record is from RNAcentral.
GAUGAAGAACGCAGCGAAAUGCGAUACUUGGUGUGAAUUGCAGAAUCCCGUGAACCAUCGAGUCUUUGAACGCAAGUUGCGCCUCAAGCCAUUAGGUUGAGGGCACGUCUGCCUGGGCGUCACAUACCGUUGCCUGAUGCCAGUUUCCUCGUGAUGGGUGACUGUGCAGGGCGAAUGAUGGCUUCCCGUGAGCAUUGUUGCCUCAUGGUUGGUUGAAAAUUGAGUCCUUGGUAGGGAGCGCCGUGAUAGAUGGUGGUUGAGUGACGAACGAGACCCAAUCAUGUGAGACCCCUACCGAAUUUGGCCUUCAUGACCCACAUGCGUCUUUGGAACGCUCAUGACGAGACCUCAGGUCAGGCGGGGCUACCCGCUGAGUUUAAGCAUAUCAAUAAGCGGAGGA